CCCUUAGAUGUUCUGGGCGGCCCGCGCACUACAAUGGCGUGUGCAGCGAGUGCCGAAGUAGAGUUUUCCGAGGUAUUCUUGCAAUGCUCGUUUUGAUGGGGAUAGACCCUUGCAACUGUUGGUUUUGAACGAGGAAUUCCUAGUAAGUAUGUGUCAUCAUCACGCACUGAUUACGUCCCUGCCCUUUGUACACACCGCCCGUCGCUCCUACCGAUUGGGUGAGCCGAUGAAACUCUCGGAUGUAGGCUAUUCAUAGCCCGCAGAAGAGAUUUGAAUCGUAGCGCUUAGAGGAAGGAGAAGUCGUAACA
This 308-nucleotide ribosomal RNA is filed under the name uncultured eukaryote. RNAcentral's name for it is "partial 18S ribosomal RNA". It matches the Rfam family "Eukaryotic small subunit ribosomal RNA", at positions 1470 to 1796 of the family's 1831-position model. The record is from RNAcentral.